Molecule: ribosomal RNA, 408 nt
Filed under: uncultured bacterium
Lineage: Bacteria
Description: partial 16S ribosomal RNA
Rfam family: Bacterial small subunit ribosomal RNA
Source: RNAcentral
GACGAACGCUGGCGGCGUGCUUAACACAUGCAAGUCGAACGAAGUGGCGAACGGGUGAGUAACGCGUAAUCAACCUGCCCUUCAGAGGGGGACAACAGUUGGAAACGACUGCUAAUACCGCAUACUGAAGGAGGGGAUUGCGUCUGAUUAGCUAGUUGGAGGGGUAACGGCCCACCAAGGCGAUGAUCAGUAGCCGGGCUGGAGGGAUGGACGGGCACAUGGGGAAUGGGAAAAGGGCCAGAAUCCUACGGGAGGGAGCAGUGGGGAAUCUGCCGCAAUGGACGAAAGUCUGACGGAGCAAAGGCGCGUGAGUGAUGACGGCCUUCGGGUUGUAAAGCUCUGUUAAUCGGGACGCGGUACCGGAAUAGAAAGCCACGGCUAACUACGUGCCAGCAGCCGCGGUAAUUC